Long non-coding RNA from Xiphophorus couchianus (Monterrey platyfish), 1151 nucleotides. RefSeq lists it as uncharacterized. Lineage: Eukaryota; Metazoa; Chordata; Actinopteri; Cyprinodontiformes; Poeciliidae. The record is from RefSeq and is a predicted model, not a curated record. The transcript is spliced from 3 exons.
AAAUGGUUUUGUAUUAUAAAACAAAAGAAAAUACUACAGAAUGUGAUUGCAGUUGUAGGACUUAAUGGUAGUAGGACUGUGCCGCGAAUGGUUGAAGACAUUUGGACACGUUUGUAACAUGUAUUUUUUUAAUUUUUGUUGCCGCUAGCUACAUUAGCUAGCUACAUUAGCAAGCUACAUUAGCCUCUUGGAGCCCAGAGAGUUCAGCUGAACCUGCACUUAAUACAUUUAAUUAGCCAUGAUAGAGUCACAGAAUUGUUUGUUGUAUAAUUUGAGGGUUGCUAUAACAACCCUAGGCUGUGAUGAUCCUAAAGGUUUUCUGAAUACACUGAUUGCAGCUAGGUCAUGCAUUUGAAUUAAAAACGAACUUGGGUCAUUACAGCCAAAGUUCUCUCCACCUGUCUAAGUUGAAAUAAAUAUCUUCCGAAAUCUGAACAUUUAUUUUGUUUUUAUGUCAACAGGUUCUUCUUUGAGAUAUUCAUCUGACAUACAUUUCUGCUCAUUCAUAGCACCCACAAAAGGCACUUUUAAGAGCCACGUUUGUCAAAUCUCUGCGUCAUCUUUUUUGUCAUAUCUCUUCGUCAUCUUUGUGUUCUUAAUUUGUCUAUUGUUCUUCACGUAAUUUGUCAACAGUUCUGUUUGUUUGUUUGUUUGUUUGUCCAUCAUAAGUCUUUGCAUUCUAUUUUGCUCUUUGUCAGUGUUUUUUAAGUAUGACACGCCCCAAAUUCAGGCCAUGCGCACAGUGUCAAACGCCCAAUCAGGCAAACAGAAAAACUUGUGUCGCCUGCCACCAGAGUCUUUACACCAAAAAAAUAAUAAAAGAAAAGUUUCAGACAUUCAAUGAUCAGUGGAGGGAAACAGUUUUAAAAAACAGAAAUGUUUCCCGCAUAAUGGAUUCUGCGGAAAUUGCAGUUCGCAAACUUCAUGCUUUAGGCUAUAAGCCUAUUUUAUUUUUUGCUAAGGAAGAUAAGUCUUCAAGCAAGUGGGUAGCAGAUGUAAUUACUCUUUUGGAGCCCACUGCUACUACAAAUAAUUUUCUUGAGAAGAUGCAAAGGGCUUAUGAAUUUCUCCUCCCUGAAGCCACGUCUGUACCAGUGCAGCCCGACACCUCCACGGAACAGCAGGUUUUUUCACCCAAAGAGCAGUGUGCU